RNAcentral lists this unclassified non-coding RNA (551 nucleotides) under Hevea brasiliensis (rubber tree). Lineage: Eukaryota; Viridiplantae; Streptophyta; Magnoliopsida; Malpighiales; Euphorbiaceae. The record is from RNAcentral.
CCAGUGUAACCUGCCAUAACCCCAUGAAUUGCUGAAUGUGCAAGAAGAGUGCAAUAUAGAUUAUCCAUGGCAUUUGCAGGGACGGCACGUAUCAUAUACGUGGGAUCGAUAUACUUCACGGUGAAUAAAUCAUUUGGGUGGUCUCUAGACCACCAGUUCCUCAGCUCUGACUUCAACCAAGCACCAACAUCUAAGAAAACUGGGUUGCCUGAUUCAUCCCUCUCUUCUUUCUGGGCAUCUGUUCUUGGUAUCAUAUCCUGUCCUGCCCCCUCUGCAACAACCAGAACUGCAUGACCAUUUUCUUUUAAUCUCUUCUCAAGAAAUUCAAACAGCCCUCCUUUUCCUUCCAGAUAAAAUUCAGUUUCAGGAAUUAAACAGCAAUCCACAUCACGACUGCUCAACGUUGCAUAGAGGGCUAUAUGACCCGUGCUUCGACCCAUUAGCUUCACCAGGCCGAUACCAUUAACUGCACUCUCAGCCUCCACAUAAGCUGCAUUAAUUGCUUGUUGUGCCAUCUCCACAGCUGUCUGGAAUCCAAAUGAUUUGUCAAU